GACGAACGCUGGCGGCGUGCUUAACACAUGCAAGUCGAGCGGUAAGGCCCUUUCGGGGGUACACGAGCGGCGAACGGGUGAGUAACACGUGGGUGACCUGCCCUCAGCUCUGGGAUAAGCCCGGGAAACUGGGUCUAAUACUGGAUAUGACUCCAUGACGCAUGUUGUGGGGUGGAAAGCCUUGUGCGGCUGAGGAUGGGCCCGCGGCCUAUCAGCUUGUUGGUGGGGGAUGGCCUACCAAGGCGACGACGGGUAGCCGGCCUGAGAGGGCGACCGGCCACACUGGGACUGAGACACGGCCCAGACUCCUACGGGAGGCAGCAGUGGGGAAUCUUGCGCAAUGGGCGAAAGCCUGACGCAGCGACGCCGCGUGAGGGAUGACGGCCUGG
This 389-nucleotide ribosomal RNA is filed under the name uncultured bacterium. RNAcentral describes it as "bacterial SSU rRNA". It matches the Rfam family "Bacterial small subunit ribosomal RNA", at positions 28 to 419 of the family's 1533-position model. The record is from RNAcentral.